GGUUAAGCGAUUAAGCGUACACGGUGGAUGCCCUGGCAGUCAGAGGCGAUGAAGGGCGUGCUAAUCUGCGAUAAGCGCCGGUAAGGUGAUAUGAACCGUUAUAACCGGCGAUACCCGAAUGGGGAAACCCAGUGUGACUCGUCACACUAUCAUUAACUGAAUCCAUAGGUUAAUGAGGCGAACCGGGGGAACUGAAACAUCUAAGUACCCCGAGGAAAAGAAAUCAACCGAGAUUCCCCCAGUAGCGGCGAGCGAACGGGGAGGAGCCCAGAGCCUGAAUCAGCAUGUGUGUUAGUGGAAGCGUCUGGAAAGGCGCGCGAUACAGGGUGACAGCCCCGUACACAAAAGACGCAUGUGCUGUGAGCUCGAUGAGUAGGGCGGGACACGUGGUAUCCUGUCUGAAUAUGGGGGGUACCAUUCCUUCCAAGGCUAAAUACUCCUGACUGACCGAUAGUGAACCAGUACCGUGAGGGAAAGGCGAAAAGAACCCCGGCGAGGGGAGUGAAAAAGAACCUGAAACCGUGUACGUACAAGCAGUGGGAGCACAGGUUUACCUGUGUGACUGCGUACCUUUUGUAUAAUGGGUCAGCGACUUAUAUUCUGUAGCAAGGUUAACCGUAUAGGGGAGCCGCAGGGAAACCGAGUCUUAACCGGGCGUUAAGUUGCAGGGUAUAGACCCGAAACCCGGUGAUCUAGCCAUGGGCAGGUUGAAGGUUGGGUAACACUAACUGGAGGACCGAACCGACUAAUGUUGAAAAAUUAGCGGAUGACCUGUGGCUGGGGGUGAAAGGCCAAUCAAACCGGGAGAUAGCUGGUUCUCCCCGAAAGCUAUUUAGGUAGCGCCUCGUGAAUUCAUCUCCGGGGGUAGAGCACUGUUUCGGCUAGGGGGUCAUCCCGACUUACCAACCCGAUGCAAACUGCGAAUACCGGAGAAUGUUAUCACGGGAGACACACGGCGGGUGCUAACGUCCGUCGUGAAGAGGGAAACAACCCAGACCGCCAGCUAAGGUCCCAAAGUCAUGGUUAAGUGGGAAACGAUGUGGGAAGGCCCAGACAGCCAGGAUGUUGGCUUAGAAGCAGCCAUCAUUUAAAGAAAGCGUAAUAGCUCACUGGUCGAGUCGGCCUGCGCGGAAGAUGUAACGGGGCUAAACCAUGCACCGAAGCUGCGGCAGCGAACGUAUCACUUAAAGCGAUUCAGCGGGUUACGAUUGACGGAGCGAAGCGACGUCAAAGCGUAUACAAAGUCGAGUCGGUUUAAGGAUACGUUCGUUGGGUAGGGGAGCGUUCUGUAAGCCUGUGAAGGUGGCCUGUGAGGGUUGCUGGAGGUAUCAGAAGUGCGAAUGCUGACAUAAGUAACGAUAAAGCGGGUGAAAAGCCCGCUCGCCGGAAGACCAAGGGUUCCUGUCCAACGUUAAUCGGGGCAGGGUGAGUCGACCCCUAAGGCGAGGCCGAAAGGCGUAGUCGAUGGGAAACGGGUUAAUAUUCCCGUACUUGGUGUUACUGCGAAGGGGGGACGGAGAAGGCUAUGUUGGCCGGGCGACGGUUGUCCCGGUUUAAGCGUGUAGGUGUGUGUUCCAGGUAAAUCCGGUUCACUUUAACACUGAGGCGUGACGACGAGGCACUACGGUGCUGAAGCAACAAAUGCCCUGCUUCCAGGAAAAGCCUCUAAGCAUCAGGUAACAUCAAAUCGUACCCCAAACCGACACAGGUGGUCAGGUAGAGAAUACCAAGGCGCUUGAGAGAACUC
RNAcentral lists this ribosomal RNA (1747 nucleotides) under Salmonella enterica subsp. enterica serovar Agona str. 392869-1. Its description in RNAcentral is "bacterial LSU rRNA". It matches the Rfam family "Bacterial large subunit ribosomal RNA", at positions 1 to 1701 of the family's 2925-position model. Lineage: Bacteria; Pseudomonadati; Pseudomonadota; Gammaproteobacteria; Enterobacterales; Enterobacteriaceae. The record is from RNAcentral.